CCUACGGGAGGCAGCAGUGGGGAAUAUUGCACAAUGGGGGAAACCCUGAUGCAGCGACGCCGCGUGAGUGAAGAAGUAUUUCGGUAUGUAAAGCUCUAUCAGCAGGGAAGAUAAUGACAGUACCUGACUAAGAAGCCCCGGCUAACUACGUGCCAGCAGCCGCGGUAAUACGUAGGGGGCAAGCGUUAUCCGGAUUUACUGGGUGUAAAGGGAGCGUAGACGGAAUGGCAAGUCUGAAGUGAAAUACCCGGGCUCAACCUGGGAACUGCUUUGGAAACUGUUGUUCUAGAGUGUUGGAGAGGUAAGUGGAAUUCCUGGUGUAGCGGUGAAAUGCGUAGAUAUCAGGAAGAACACCGGAGGCGAAGGCGGCUUACUGGACAAUAACUGACGUUGAGGCUCGAAAGCGUGGGGAUCAAACAGGAUUAGAUACCCUGGUAGUC
This 440-nucleotide ribosomal RNA is filed under the name Oribacterium sinus. RNAcentral's name for it is "bacterial SSU rRNA". It matches the Rfam family "Bacterial small subunit ribosomal RNA", at positions 338 to 795 of the family's 1533-position model. Lineage: Bacteria; Bacillati; Bacillota; Clostridia; Lachnospirales; Lachnospiraceae. The record is from RNAcentral.